CGCGUAGGCGGCUUUGUAAGUCAAGUGUGAAAUCCCGGGGCUCAACCUCGGAAGUGCACUUGAAACUACAUGGCUUGAGUAUGGGAGAGGGAAGUGGAAUUCCUGGUGUAGAGGUGAAAUUCGUAGAUAUCAGGAGGAACACCGGUGGCGAAGGCGACUUCCUGGACCAAUACUGACGCUGAGGCGCGAAGGCGUGGGGAGCAAACA
RNAcentral lists this ribosomal RNA (207 nucleotides) under uncultured bacterium. RNAcentral's name for it is "partial 16S ribosomal RNA". It matches the Rfam family "Bacterial small subunit ribosomal RNA", at positions 568 to 774 of the family's 1533-position model. The record is from RNAcentral.